GUACCGUGAGGGAAAGGUGAAAAGAACCCCGAUAAGGGGAGUGAAAUAGACUUUGAAACCGUGUGCUUACAAACAGUCAGAGGGCUAUUGUAAAGCCUGAUGGCGUACCUUUUGCAUUAUGAGCCGCCGAGUUAUGGUGUGUAGCGAGAUUAAGCCGUUGAAGGUGUAGUCGUAGGGAAACCGAGUCUGAAUAGGGCGAUAGUUGCAUGCUGUAGACCCGAAACGGGAUGAGCUUACCAUGAGCAGGUUGAAGCGAGGGUAAAACUUCGUGGAGGACCGAACCCAUAUAGGUUGAAAACUGUUGGGAUGACUUGUGGUAAGGGGUGAAAGGCCAAUCAAAUUCCGUGAUAGCUGGUUCUCCUCGAAAUGCAUUUAGGUGCAGCGUCUAGUGUUUACCAUCGGGGGUAUAGCACUGAAUUGGCUAGGGGGCUCACCAGCUUACCAAACCAUAUCAAACUCAGAAUACCGAUGAGUAUAGCUAGGCAGUGAGACUAUGGAUGCUAAGGUCCAUAGUCGAAAGGGAAAGAGCCCAGACCAACAGCUAAGGUCCCUAAAUUGUCACUAAGUGGGAAAGGUUGUGGAACUACUGUGACAUCCAGGAGGUUGGCUUAGAAGCAGC
RNAcentral lists this ribosomal RNA (619 nucleotides) under Alexandrium tamarense. RNAcentral's name for it is "partial Bacterial large subunit ribosomal RNA". It matches the Rfam family "Bacterial large subunit ribosomal RNA", at positions 498 to 1116 of the family's 2925-position model. The record is from RNAcentral. Lineage: Eukaryota; Dinophyceae; Gonyaulacales; Pyrocystaceae.